AAGAUAUAGUUUUUUCUGUGAUACUUUAUUCUGAUACGAUAUCAAAGACAUAUAUGAUGGGUGAUUCUUUCAUUCUUUGUCUUUGUUAGAAGUUCAGGUGUAUGCAUGCGGCUGUUUUACACACGCUUUGCUAUUUUACUGGUAAUAGGUUUUAUUGCCUGAUUUCACAUCGAGUUUUCCUAGUGGGAACGCUAUCUAGAUGAACUGCAUGUUUGAAUAACAACUAACGUUAGGAGCUUUUCUUCUGUUAUUUUCUCUUACUCCUUUUGGGUUUACUUUUUUGGCUUCUGCAAGUUGGUUGAAGUUGUUGCUUUAAGAUGCUAAAGAAGGAAACAUGUUAUUAACUCUGUUCUGUGCAGCUUUUUCUGCUAUGGGUUUUGUUCUUGGAUAUCAGGAAGAACUAAAUAAAUUUUCAUGUGAUUGCAUAUAAUUUUGGGACUUUAUAUCAUAUUAAUUUGUUGUUGGAAUUAGGAUAUACAUCGUCAAGUGCAAUUUUUGCCAUUAUUUCUUCUAACACAAUCAAUCUACAGUAUUUUGUUGAAGGUUUUUUCUAGUAAUUAUAUUUCAGCAGAAACUUUAGUAUCAAAUCUUAAUGCAUUAACACUUGCCUUCCUCAAUCUGGGCAAAGAGUAGUGUAGGUUGAUGGCUUUACUGAUCCCUUGGGUACUGAUAUUUCAUUUCCCUUGGCUGUCCUAUAUAUAUGCAGUAGGUCUUUAUAGUUUA
Molecule: unclassified non-coding RNA, 723 nt
Filed under: Hevea brasiliensis (rubber tree)
Lineage: Eukaryota; Viridiplantae; Streptophyta; Magnoliopsida; Malpighiales; Euphorbiaceae
Source: RNAcentral